GAUGAACGCUAGCUACAGGCUUAACACAUGCAAGUCGAGGGGAAACGACAUCGAAAGCUUGCUUUUGAUGGGCGUCGACCGGCGCACGGGUGAGUAACGCGUAUCCAACCUGCCCAUCACUUGGGAAUAACCUUGCGAAAGUAAGACUAAUACCCAAUGAUAUCCCACGAAGGCAUCGGAAUGGGAUUAAAGAUUUAUCGGUGAUGGAUGGGGAUGCGUCUGAUUAGCUUGUUGGCGGGGUAACGGCCCACCAAGGCAACGAUCAGUAGGGGUUCUGAGAGGAAGGUCCCCCACAUUGGAACUGAGACACGGUCCAAACUCCUACGGGAGGCAGCAGUGAGGAAGAUUGGUCAAUGGGCGAGAGCCUGAACCAGCCAAGUAGCGUGCAGGAUGACGGCCCUAUGGGUUGUAAACUGCUUUUAUAAGGGAAUAAAGUGGGUCUCGUGAGACUUUUUGCAUGUACCUUAUGAAUAAGGACCGGCUAAUUCCGUG
RNAcentral lists this ribosomal RNA (492 nucleotides) under uncultured bacterium. RNAcentral describes it as "partial 16S ribosomal RNA". It matches the Rfam family "Bacterial small subunit ribosomal RNA", at positions 28 to 507 of the family's 1533-position model. The record is from RNAcentral.